Molecule: non-coding RNA, 288 nt
Organism: Pelobates cultripes (western spadefoot toad)
Lineage: Eukaryota; Metazoa; Chordata; Amphibia; Anura; Pelobatidae
Source: the annotation of a GenBank genome assembly
GCCUGCCAGCGCCGCCCGCCCUGCAGCCACUGGACCACCAGGGAGAGAGACCCCCCCCUCCCCCCCCAGCACUCCCAAAGGUAAGGAGGUUGGGGGGGGAUUUAAAUUUAAAAAAAAGUUAGUGUGUGUGUGUGUGUUUGUGAGUGUGUGUGUGACUGUGUUUGUGUCUGUGUAUGUGUCUGACUGUGUGUGUAUGUGACUGUGUGUGUUUGUGUCUGACUGUGUGUGUAUGUGUGUGUGUGUGUGUCUGACUGUGUGUGUAUGUGUGUGUGUGUGUGUGUGUAUGUA